GAGCUGCAACCCCCAAAGUACAGGAAGAUUUGAAUGGAAGAGGGUCAAGGUCAGAUUUAUCCACCACAGAGUCUUUGUUGUUGAGCUCUGCGCUAGGGGAGCCCAGGGAGGAAACCGUUGUGGGAGGGAGCAGGAAGUGGAAGAAGUCAUCAUGAACAUACCCAGCGGGUAACGGCAGUUGAAGAGUGAACUCAGUCGGCGGAAGAUGGAGGCAUGGGGGUCGAACAGAGUGAAGAAGGAUGUGUGUACGGGAGACCUAGGAGGAUCUUGAGGGCUCGGGAACCCAUGCCUGAGCCUCUUGUCAGGCCUAAGUCACUAAGAGAGAAGGGAUUGGAGUUUAAUGCUUCCACACAGGGCUUUGGAAUCAGACCCAGUGGAAUCCGCCCUUCUGUCUUCCCUUGACUUGCAAUGGCUAGAACAAGAUGCCUAAGAACUCUGAGGAAAGCUGGCUCAGACACUCCCUGGGAGGCCUUUCAGCAGCAUGAGAAUAAAGGAUAAGCAAGAGCAGGCCUUUUGUCUUGGGCAACUGUCCUAGCCAAGUCACCAGGUAAGUCACUUUUCUAUCUCUCUGGAUCUCUCUUCUCUCCUUUGUAAAACACUAGAUCAAGGGUUGAUCAAGGGGGCUUUGUACAAAGGUCCCAGUAGUGGACAUUUUAGGUUUUGCAGAAAGUGUGGUCUCUAUUGUAUUUCUCUGUUCAGCUCCAUCUGUGAUGCAUAAUAAGAAAGCAGGGUGUGCUGGCUGGUCUUAUGUCAAUUUGAAACAUGCUAGAGUCAUCUGAAAAGAGGGGCCUCAGUUCAGAAUAUGCUCUACAUGACCCAACUGUAAGGCAUUUUUUUAAUUAGUGACUGAUGGGGGAAGGGCUCAGCCUGUUAUGGGUGAUGUCAUCCCUGGGCUGGUGGUCCUGGGUUCUACAAGAAAGCAGACUGAACAAGCCAUAAGGACCAAUCCAGUAAGCAGCAUCCCUCCAUGGCCUCUGCAUCAGUUCCUGCCUCCAGGUUCCUGCCCUGUUUUAGUUUCUGCUCUGACUUCCUUCAAAUGCUAAAGAUUCACAUAUUUUUGGAAGUUUAUGAAAAAUCUUAAUUUUUAUGUUGCUCUUGACAGAAGAAAACCAGAUGUGGUGAUUCAUGCCUAUAAUCCCAACACUCAGGAGAUCGGGGCAGGAGGAUUGCUGUGGCUUCCAGGCCAGCAGAGGUUAUGAAGACAGCCUCAAUAAAUCAAUUCAAUAAAGUCAGAAAGAAAAAGGAAAUGAUAAUAAAUUGUCCAAGUUUAUCUUUCUACCAAUAAAGUCAUAAGAUAUUUGUA
Rattus norvegicus (Norway rat) is the source of this 1303-nucleotide non-coding RNA. NCBI's taxonomy places the organism in Eukaryota, Metazoa, Chordata, Mammalia, Rodentia, Muridae. The record is from RefSeq and is a predicted model, not a curated record.